This 73-nucleotide transfer RNA is filed under the name Fasciola hepatica (liver fluke). It matches the Rfam family "tRNA". Rfam says of the family: Transfer RNA (tRNA) molecules are approximately 80 nucleotides in length. Their secondary structure includes four short double-helical elements and three loops (D, anti-codon, and T loops). Lineage: Eukaryota; Metazoa; Platyhelminthes; Trematoda; Plagiorchiida; Fasciolidae. The record is from Rfam by way of RNAcentral.
ACCGCGAAAGCUCAGCUGGUAGAGCAUCUGCCCUGUAAGUGGGGGGUCGCCGGUUCGAUUCCGGCUCGCGGCG